GCGCAUGAGUAUUGAGUUUACUAUAUAAUCAUUACAAGUGAUGAAAGAAGGCGAUUGCCGUACAUACCUGUCUAGAUCAGCAUGGGUUGAUAUAAUAGGAUUUUGGAGCUAUUUUGUCGGUUUGAGUUACGAUGAAAAGAUAUUAUUCAUUUCCUCGUGACUAAAUCCAACAAAAUAGUUCCAGAGUCCUAUACUAUUAUCCCAUGCCAAGCUUGUGACGACAGCAGCCUCCAGUGCCCCCAGAGUUAUGUUCGAGGGACGUGAACAGAACUGUUAGGAGACUCCGUGCUCAGAGGUGAAUCUUUUAUUGAUGUACAAGGAAGCCACUGCAAAGGCGUCUACCUGGGAUGUUUUCAUUGAUCCAGAAUAAAAGUUGGGGGGUCGAAGGUGAUCAGAUUC
Molecule: ribosomal RNA, 399 nt
Filed under: Rhodella violacea
Lineage: Eukaryota; Rhodophyta; Rhodellophyceae; Rhodellales; Rhodellaceae
Description: partial Eukaryotic small subunit ribosomal RNA
Source: RNAcentral